Drosophila montana is the source of this 627-nucleotide long non-coding RNA. RefSeq lists it as uncharacterized. The transcript is spliced from 2 exons. Lineage: Eukaryota; Metazoa; Arthropoda; Insecta; Diptera; Drosophilidae. The record is from RefSeq and is a predicted model, not a curated record.
AACGCAUUCGAUUAUUAAUAAUGCGGACUGGCAGAGCCAAGAGCUGCGUUGCAAGCAGCUGACUGCAGAUAACACUUGCUUCGAACUCUGAACAGAGUUGAGUUAACAUGCAACGUGCAACGCUCUGCCGCAACGCCAACCCCCUUUUCCACCACUCCGCAGCACCAUCAGCGUUUGCAUCUGCGCUGCUCCCAUUGACUGUCGGACUGAUUGUAAUCAAGAUUGGCUUUUUGCAUGCGCCCGGCUGCCAAACCGAUUUGUGGCCUGGAAACCGUUUCGCUGCGUUUCGUUUAUGUGUGCGACAUUUCAAGGUCCGCCUGCCCCCUCCACCCAACCCAUUUGAGCCGCCUUUUGGGUGCCUUCGGCCAUGGACAACGCCUCAACUCACCUUAACUCUCACAGCUGCCGACUUGCAAUUUGCAGUCUGCGAGGUUUUUUAAUUUCCAUUCGCUUAAUCAUUAAUGUGUCAUAAGUUCCAGUUGGCCAAGAAUCAGAUGGGGAAACUAUAUCAUGGUUAGUUGCUUUGAAUAAGCUCACAUUCCAACCAUGUACUCGACCAUGCUUUGACAGUACUAGAUCUUUGCCCAUCAUAGCAUUUUAUAAAGGUGUUUAUUUUUUAACAUUCUA